AGAGUUCGAUCCUGGCUCAGGACGAACGCUGGCGGCGCGCCUAACACAUGCAAGUCGAACGAGCGAGAGAGAGCUUGCUUUCUCGAGCGAGUGGCGAACGGGUGAGUAACGCGUGAGGAACCUGCCUCAAAGAGGGGGACAACAGUUGGAAACGACUGCUAAUACCGCAUAAGCCCACAGCUCGGCAUCGAGCAGAGGGAAAAGGAGCAAUCCGCUUUGAGAUGGCCUCGCGUCCGAUUAGCUGGUUGGUGAGGUAACGGCCCACCAAGGCGACGAUCGGUAGCCGGACUGAGAGGUUGAACGGCCACAUUGGGACUGAGACACGGCCCAGACUCCUACGGGAGGCAGCAGUGGGGAAUAUUGCACAAUGGGGGAAACCCUGAUGCAGCGACGCCGCGUGGAGGAAGAAGGUCUUCGGAUUGUAAACUCCUGUUGUUGAGGAAGAUAAUGACGGUACUCAACAAGGAAGUGACGGCUAACUACGUGCCAGCAGCCGCGGUAAAACGUAGGUCACAAGCGUUGUCCGGAAUUACUGGGUGUAAAGGGAGCGCAGGCGGGAAGACAAGUUGGAAGUGAAAUCUAUGGGCUCAACCCAUAAACUGCUUUCAAAACUGUUUUUCUUGAGUAGUGCAGAGGUAGGCGGAAUUCCCGGUGUAGCGGUGGAAUGCGUAGAUAUCGGGAGGAACACCAGUGGCGAAGGCGGCCUACUGGGCACCAACUGACGCUGAGGCUCGAAAGUGUGGGUAGCAAACAGGAUUAGAUACCCUGGUAGUCCACACCGUAAACGAUGAUUACUAGGUGUUGGAGGAUUGACCCCUUCAGUGCCGCAGUUAACACAAUAAGUAAUCCACCUGGGGAGUACGACCGCAAGGUUGAAACUCAAAGGAAUUGACGGGGGCCCGCACAAGCAGUGGAGUAUGUGGUUUAAUUCGACGCAACGCGAAGAACCUUACCAAGUCUUGACAUCCUGCGACGGACAUAGAAAUAUGUCUUUCCUUCGGGACGCAGAGACAGGUGGUGCAUGGUUGUCGUCAGCUCGUGUCGUGAGAUGUUGGGUUAAGUCCCGCAACGAGCGCAACCCUUACUGUCAGUUACUACGCAAGAGGACUCUGGCAGGACUGCCGUUGACAAAACGGAGGAAGGUGGGGAUGACGUCAAAUCAUCAUGCCCUUUAUGACUUGGGCUACACACGUACUACAAUGGCGUUAAACAAAGAGAAGCAAGACCGCGAGGUGGAGCAAAACUCAGAAACAACGUCCCAGUUCGGACUGCAGGCUGCAACUCGCCUGCACGAAGUCGGAAUUGCUAGUAAUCGUGGAUCAGCAUGCCACGGUGAAUACGUUCCCGGGCGUGUACACACCGCCCGUCA
Molecule: ribosomal RNA, 1369 nt
Filed under: uncultured bacterium
Lineage: Bacteria
Description: 16S ribosomal RNA
Rfam family: Bacterial small subunit ribosomal RNA
Source: RNAcentral